Molecule: small nuclear RNA, 104 nt
Organism: Otolemur garnettii (small-eared galago)
Lineage: Eukaryota; Metazoa; Chordata; Mammalia; Primates; Galagidae
Source: Ensembl
GCUAACUUGCUUUGGUAGCACACAAAAUUGGAAUGAUACAGAGAAGAUUAGCAUGGCCCCUGUGCAAGGAUGACAUACAAAUUCAUGAAAUGUUCUGUAUUUUU